Long non-coding RNA from Alosa sapidissima (American shad), 108 nucleotides. RefSeq lists it as uncharacterized. The transcript is spliced from 3 exons. NCBI's taxonomy places the organism in Eukaryota, Metazoa, Chordata, Actinopteri, Clupeiformes, Clupeidae. The record is from RefSeq and is a predicted model, not a curated record.
UUUGUUAGUGUUGCACAGAGCUAGUGAGCGGAGCGGAGAGAGAGUGAGCGAGGGGCGGAACGGAUGGAAUUUUGUUGGAGCGUGGAACGCUUUUUAAUUUAGAGGCCG